ACUCUAGUCUAGAGAGCACAUUCUCUGCUCAGUUGCCCGGGGAAGCCACUAGCUACAGAUGCUGGAGAAUUUGGGCUGGUUUCUUCUGCAUUUUAACAAUCCCUGGGGCUUUCUUUGGUUCUUUCUUUAUUUGAGUGAGGUUGAGAUCAUCUUUCUAUCAUGUCUCUGCAUUCAGUGAUAUCCAUAUUUAUCCAUGUUUGAAAAGACACAGACAUCAAUCUGUCUGGAAAGAACGAUGUGAGGACAGGACCCCUGCUACUGUGUGUGUCUCUCAUCCUGAUGUUGACAUAUGUAAAAGAAAAAAUCUGCUCCGGACACUUGUGAAAACCAGCAAGACAGAUGUUAUUGGAACUCCUGCAUUAGGCUACGACCCUCAGUACAGAGUUGAGCUCAGCUCUGGAGGCAGCAUGGACAGUGAGUGGAGUGUUUAUGGACAAUGAGCAGAGGGUCAGCGGAUGGACAGUCACUAAGAGGAACUUGAUGAGGUAUCAAGAGCCCAAGAAGCUGAGCCUCAGAGAUGGCUGACAAAGGUCCCUCAGCUCUCGGAUACCUAGAACUCUGCAGUUUGAAACAAACCAUGGUGAGAAGUGUUCCCUAAGGCAGGGAGAAGAGGCUGGCUCCACAGAAACAAGCCCUCAGCAAGGCAUGGUUCAGGAAGUCGAUGUAGGUGGCUCCAAAGGCAAGGCUGGUGCAUUCUGAUUUUUGACAAAAGUUGGCUUUUCCUCUGCAGGAUGUGGGCAAGCUCAUCCCCAGGUGUGGAUGACUUUGGGAAGAGAGUCAGUUGACCUAUGUUUGAGGCAGGAAAAGAAAUGGAAGGAUUACAUUUAUAUCAAGUUUGCUACAAAGUAACAGAUUGUGAAAUCUCACAGCUCCAAGUGAGGUAAGCAAUGUUCACUGAUGCUCAUGAAGAGUGACAAUACAUUUAUUAUCUCAUCCGUGCAACUUUCAGAAGUGAAUGUUUGCAUAUUUAACAAUUAUCCCAGACCUCAGACAUAGCCGAGGAGUGUCUACAGCAAGCCAAGACCAAUGGCACCAUGGAUCUGGGUACUAGGUCUCCACAGCAGGCUGAGUGCAGCCUCAGGAAUCCAGGAUGCAGAAUCCAAUGGCAGAGGCCAGAUGAGGGCAAUGUACAGCACACACUGUGGGCCCACACUGACCUCUCUCUGCAGGAAUCAUCCCCACUAGACCUUGGAAGACUGAGGGGAUAACUAAAAGGAAAGUACUGAACCCAACGUACUUAAGAAAAGCUGCCUCAAAUGGUUUUGUGACUAAGGCAAGUCACACGAUCUGUUUUGGGUCUCACGUUCAUCAUCUUUAAAAUAGGAAUAAAUAAUUUCUUGCCUGUCUA
This is a long non-coding RNA of Homo sapiens (human), 1348 nucleotides long. RefSeq lists it as uncharacterized. NCBI's taxonomy places the organism in Eukaryota, Metazoa, Chordata, Mammalia, Primates, Hominidae. The transcript is spliced from 3 exons. The record is from RefSeq and is marked validated.